Molecule: long non-coding RNA, 4892 nt
Filed under: Manduca sexta (tobacco hornworm)
Lineage: Eukaryota; Metazoa; Arthropoda; Insecta; Lepidoptera; Sphingidae
Description: uncharacterized LOC119193852
Source: RNAcentral
AUAUUGCCGAAACUUCAGCAGACGAAACAUCUAAUUCUCAUUGCCGUAAAUUCUACCUUACGAGAUAUAUACUUACUUGUUUUGCGGCAAAAUGUUAUAAUUUUAUUCAUCUGAGGAUUUUUUUUAUGGAUAGGGAUUUAAGGAAUUUUGGGUGAAAAUCAAUCUAAUCGUUUUAAAUUAAUUAAGUAUUUAUAGUAAACAACAUUUUUGUUUAUUUUAUAGCUCUGUUUACUGUUUUGAAGGAAAUUUAUAUCAGUCUGUAACAAAUGAUAUCUAUAUCCUUAGAAAAUCUAGGAUGAAACUAAAAUCGUAAGGGAAACACUGCUUCCGCCUUCCGAAUUCCGGUUUCAGGUUUUGGCGUUUACUGUCAGUGUCACUUUCAACUAAAGAGAAUACAAAUACUACGCAAGACUUUCAACUUUAAUUUACCAAUUCGUACAUCUCAUAUAAAAAUUUAAUAAUAUUUAUAUCUGUUUGAAGAAGCUAGGAAAACAAAUGUUAUGUCCUAAUAAAUUAUACGUAAACAACUAAAAAAUAAAUAACACCUUAUACCAUCGGCUUCAAAGUAGUAAGAAAAUCGGAAGAUUGACUGCGAUGCGGAAUUAACUGUAAUUGGGAGGACAAAUCUUGUGUGAACAAUGUUGGGCGCUAGUUUGUUGGACAUGGUCAUCACAACAGCCUGUGUGCUAGUGUCCAUGAUUAUAUUAAGCUGCUUGUGCUGUUUAUGCAUGAAGUUCAGCGACUUGAAACUGAAAUAUUACGUUGUCGAAAUGGCAAAGAAGAAAGGUAUCAAAGUUGAUCUCGAUGAACUGGAGAGAAAACCACCAGACUGCCAAUCACCACUAGCUAAUGAAUCAUGCACCAUCAUGGUUCCAGAUGUGGGUAUCAUACUGUAGUUCAUUCAGUGGCAUUAUUUCUUAUUAGCCCUCGUCAGAGAAGAUUAUGACAUUAGCAAAGGCUAAUUGUAAAAAUCAUGCGCAUGCUUUGUGAUGGAAAACAGCAGAAUUUGGUGUUGACGAUAUGAUUUAUUGUGAUAUUGAUGUCAAUGGAUAAUGGUUGGAGUUCAGUAAUAAUUUUGUGCCAUAUGUAAUUACACUACUGCCAGAUUGGUCUAUUAAUUGGUUCAUUGCCACCUGGAGUGGUUUUUUUAUAAUUGGAAUUGUACAUUCGACCCUUUCCAUUUUUCAGGAGCUGGUCUCUUUGUAACUAUAAGAAUUAUACUUAGAAAUGUAAUAUAAUCAUAUAUAUUUAAAAAAAAAGUUCUAUAUUUUCUAUAAUCUAAGUCAUACUUAUUUUGACUGCUUCAGCUUUUGUGGGAUAUCUAAAAAUAUAUUUAUAGGAAUAAUGGAAAUUAGUAAAAUGUACUCUCUCUUAAUGUAUUAUGUAAGUGCUUCAAUUUUUAAAAACUUUGCCGCAGUAAAUAAAUUUGUGGUUUAGCCUGUACUUACAUACUUCCAUAUACAAAUACAAGUAGUCAGUAGAAUGUAGAAUUUGUUUUCAAAGCUGCAGUGAUGCUAGAUUUCAAAUUAAAACACCUAGGAUACUGAUCUCAUAGCAGAAUCUCAGGAAUUUGGUUGACUGAUUUUCAAUUCAGAUUGUUGUUAAUUACCUAUAAGUAUUAUAGUUUUGGAGGACUACCUUCUAUAAUUUUUCUCAUAAGGAUUCAUAAUGGGCAGAACUGAUAUUGUUACAAUACCUUUUAUUCAAGACAUCAUACCUGGAUGUACUUGAUCUUGUUAGUGCUGUAUCACACUGAAAAGCAUUGUGGCUACUUAAUUUAAUGGGGCCCUUCCUAACAUAAAUUAUCUGUAGCCAUAUGUAUUGAUUAUUCCAGUGAUCUGUUCUGAGGUCUGAAUACACGAAAAAACUUCUCAAAAUUUUAGGACCUCUUGAUGUCGAGGGCCUGUACUUUUUCUCAAUCAUUUCAUCCUUUUGUUAAGCCACAGGAAUUGGUAGAAAUGCCAACGUAUCUUAUGACAAUAUAUGAUUCGGAGUCUAAUGUUUUUUUUCGUGUUUAAAUGGAAAAUGUGGAAUUAAACAAUGUGUCUUACCAUUUACUAUUGCAAUUUGAAACUAUAAUAUGUUUUAGCUUUAAGUAAUCUCUUGCCAAUUUGUAGAUUAUGAUAUAUUGCGUUUAUAAUAUUAAUCAGUUAUAAAUCUUUAUAAAUAUUUAAGAAAUCAGAACUUAAUAUCAUCAUGUUAUGAACACAAUGUAGCGUAGAAAAUUUAUGCUAAUUGAUUUUAAUAAGAAAAAAUUUAUAAAUACCAGUUUAAUCUAUAAAAAUUCAAUUUGUUUUGCUAAAAAAUUAAUAGUAGUGCAACUCCAUAUUUUUUUUUAAAUCGUGCAAAUAUUUAUUUAAAUCCAGAUAAUUUUUAAAGUUCCUAUAUUUAAAAUAAUGCCUUAGAUGUUUGAUAGAACUCAAAACUUCUUAUAGAAUGUAGUGUUGCUAAUAUUAUCAAUUAUAUGUACGCUUAGGAACCCUUAGAGAUCUAGUUUACUGUGAGGUUCGAUAUGAAUGCUUGUUAUUGUAAAUUGAAAUGUAUUAUUAUUAUAUUUUAAGGCUUUUUUAGUAGAAGUAGGUUUUGAAGCUUUUCUUUCUUUGUUCAGGCUGGGUCUUGAACUUGGUUAAUGUGUGAGAUGGGGUAUAUUUCAAAUGGCUUGGAAUACCUGUAAAAUGUUAUUAGCAUUAAUAAACAUACCAUGACAAGCAAUAUAGUUAAUAAUUCAACCUAAUCUAUAAUCUAAGUAUACAAUCAUAAAUACCAUAGUGUAAUAAUAUGUCUGAUACUUUACAAUAACAUUUUUAUCUACAGUAGUAUUAUAAGCUGGAGAUUGUUUGAAUGGGCUAAUAAUCUCAGAAAGUACUAAACCGAUUUUGAUUUUUUUACUAAUACGAAGCUACAUUGCCCCUGAGUGAAAUUUUCACGCGAGCGGAGUAGACAAAGGCUAGUUAUAUAUUGUUUAUUACGAACUAUUUUGAGAUCUUAAGAAGAAAUCAGUAUAUUUAUAAUGCAACAAUAUAUUCUAUAUUUCUCAAUAUCAACUCAGAAAAUAAACAAUACGAACGCACAAACUUCAUGAAAUAGACUAAUAAUAGAAUACAUAUUUUAUAAUAUACAUAUUUUUGUAGUUUAUGCAUGGUCGUUUACAAGAUAUAAUAUGAUUCUUAAAAUAUUUAAUUCCAACUUUUACUAAUAGUCAAAUGCUUUUAUGUAAACAAAAUGAAGGGUAAAGAGUAAAGCCGGUUGGUGAUCAAGAAUAAAGCUGAAUUCGUUUAGAUCGCAAUUCGCAUGGCUGAAAAACCACAUAUACCUAAGUUGGUUUGCAUAGUUUCAAAGUUCUCAAGUAUGGAAAGAUUUCUCAGCUAUGCAAGCCAAGGUAAAUUAAUUUAGCUUUAUUUUUGGUCGCGACUGACAUUAAUCUACAGGAGUGAAUAUUUAGAAGUUUACUCGACAUAAGUUGACUGAUAAGCCCAAUGGUCGUAAUUAAAAGAGUAAUAUGUUGAGACAUUUCCCUUAAAUAUUUCCACUUCUAAAAUAUCGAUGACUCCUAAGUAAACUAUCGUAUCUGGAAACAUUGCGAUAUUUACUUUUUUAAUAUUUCAAAGUUAAUAAACAAAAAAAAUCUUAAUAAUCUUUAUUUACUAACUUUUUUUAAUAGGUUUGGUAGUAAAUAGAACCAAGAUACAACCUUAAAAAUGUGAAUGUCGCAAUUCUUUCAGUUACGAUAGUUUACUUAGGAGCCAUCGAUAUAAGGAAUUACCGUAUUUUUUGUAUUAGUCUCUGUAAUGUAUGUGAAGGGCUUGGGUCAGACCGAUAUAAUUCUUAAAAUACCUGAUUUAUGUACCAUUGUAUACUUUACGUUUUAAUCACAUGAUGCCUGAUCAUUUGGCGAAUUAUGUGCGUAAUCAUGACUAACCACAUUGUGAUUAGUGUAAGCAAAACGUAUAUGAGCUGCAUUGCUAUUUGCCACUCAUACCUGUGUCACAGGAUACACGGUUCUAUAGUAUACAUAGCAAGGUUUACCGUGUAUGCAAUCAUGGCAAGGUGACUUUUGCAUAUUGAAGCUUGCAGGACUUGCGGCAAGUCGUAUGUGUAUAGAACUAUUGUAAUGUGACCGCUAUUGUAAACUUUAACGUAAGUUCUUGCGCAAUAUAUUGCUACAAUAACUUGUAAUAAUAAUCUGAGCAUAACAUUAAAAACAAUAUUAACCCACCAAUCACAAUAUGAGAACCAUCUGACCUCAGCCCAAUACAACGAUCCAAAAUUGUGUUCAGAUUAUAUUUAUUAAAAAAUCUCGCUAUUGGAAUUAAUUUACUAUUACCUCAAGAAAAAAAAAUCCUAAGCUAUUUAGCUAAUUGACAAUUUUGAUAAGAAUAAAAUAAGUAAGAUCAGAUGGCCUUAUUUUGUUAUAGGGGUAUAUCCGUCUUUUUGCAAUUACGGGCGCUCUAUUCGAAGGACAGCUUCGAUAGCCGUAUAGGUUAGAAAGUAAAAAAAUCCCCUAUUUACCUAUACGGCUAUCAAAGCUCUCCUUCGAAUAGAAUGCUCGUAAUAGCAAAAAGACGAAUAUGCUCCUGUAGACGGAAUAGAGUUCCCUGACCGUAAUUAAAAACAAUAUUUUCAAAACUUUGUCUAUAAAGUCUUUAAUAUAUUCCUUUUGCUUAUAAUUAUUAGAUGGAAUUAUUAUUAUUUUUUUCAUUUAUAAUAUUUAAGUUGAAGUGAUGUUCAAAGGUGUAUUCUAUUUACAAUUGAAAUAUGGCAACUGUGUUGCCGAAAAUCACAUUAUCAUAUGUAUCGUCGUCUAAGAGUGCUGGUCUGCUAACUCUAUAGUAGAUAAUUUGUAAAAGAAUUAACAUCUUAUUACUUAAAAAUGAAGAUCCCGUUGGCAGAUA